GUAACCAGGCUGCCCUGGUUAUACCUGAUCCUGCCUGAUUUCAGAAACUAUGCAGGGUUGAGCCUAGUUCAAUGAGUGCAUUUCAAGUACUGGUUCCA
RNAcentral lists this ribosomal RNA (98 nucleotides) under Monopterus albus (swamp eel). Lineage: Eukaryota; Metazoa; Chordata; Actinopteri; Synbranchiformes; Synbranchidae. The record is from RNAcentral.